RNAcentral lists this ribosomal RNA (467 nucleotides) under uncultured bacterium. RNAcentral's name for it is "partial 16S ribosomal RNA". It matches the Rfam family "Bacterial small subunit ribosomal RNA", at positions 28 to 523 of the family's 1533-position model. The record is from RNAcentral.
GACGAACGCUGGCGGCGUGCUUAACACAUGCAAGUCGAGCGAGAAACUUCGGUUUCUAGCGGCGGACGGGUGAGUAACACGUGGGCAACCUGCCUCACAAUGGGGGAUAGCCUUCCGAAAGGAAGAUUAAUACCGCAUAACACAAAGGAAACGCAUGUUUCUUUUGCCAAAGAAUUUCGUUGUGAGAUGGGCCCGCGGCGCAUUAGCUUGUUGGUGAGGUAACGGCUCACCAAGGCGACGAUGCGUAGCCGACCUGAGAGGGUGAACGGCCGCAUUGGAACUGAGACACGGUCCAGACUCCUACGGGAGGCAGCAGUGGGGAAUAUUGCACAAUGGAGGAAACUCUGAUGCAGCAACGCCGCGUGAGUGAUGAAGGUCUUCGGAUUGUAAAACUCUGUCUUCUGGGACGAUAAUGACGGUACCAGAGGAGGAAGCCACGGCUAACUACGUGCCAGCAGCCGCCGUAA